This 106-nucleotide small RNA is filed under the name Marmota monax (woodchuck). The record is from RNAcentral. Lineage: Eukaryota; Metazoa; Chordata; Mammalia; Rodentia; Sciuridae.
GUUGGGUGUGGUGGCCACACCUAUAAUCCCAGCAGCUCAGGAGGCUGAGGUAGGAGGAUCGCAAGUUCAAGGCCAGCCUCAGCAAUUUAGUGAGAUCUUGCCUCAA